UCUCCCUUCUCUCUAGUUGGCUGAGUAUAUCGUGUGAUUCUCUCUUAAUUUCUUUCAUCAACUCCCACCUAAACACUCACAUCUCAUCUCAUUCUUAUAUACACAUAGCCUUAGAUCACUUGAGUUGGGUUUGGUGCUAGUGAAAAAGCUAGAAAUCAAAGGUGUGUACUUUUGAUCCCUAGUAUUUCUUCAGCUGCGAUGGUGUGCGACUUUACCCACUCAAGAUUAUGUAGUUGGGCAAGCUAGGGCCAUAAUAGAAAGAAGAGCAUAAUGAAUCAUGGAAUAGAUGGGAGCUAUCUUCAAACUUUUAUGUGUUUUGAUUAUGUUUUGUUGUUCACUUUUUAAGUAAAAUAUGUGGAGGAUUAGUAGUUUGUUGUGACUUAUGUUAAUUGUAAAACUUCACCUAAUAAUUUUAUUUAGUGGUGAUAGUUAUGGUUUGAAUUGAAUAUUAUAUUAGAUUUGA
This is a long non-coding RNA of Humulus lupulus (European hop), 463 nucleotides long. RefSeq lists it as uncharacterized. The record is from RefSeq and is a predicted model, not a curated record. The transcript is spliced from 3 exons. NCBI's taxonomy places the organism in Eukaryota, Viridiplantae, Streptophyta, Magnoliopsida, Rosales, Cannabaceae.